CAGCAGCCGCGGUAAUACGAAGGUCCCGAGCGUUGUUCGGAAUCACUGGGCGUAAAGGGAGCGUAGGCGGCGCGGUAAGUCAGAUGUGAAAUCCCGGGGCUCAACCCCGGAACCGCGUCCGAUACUGCCGUGCUCAGAGGAUUGGAGAGGUAGCUGGAAUUCUUGGUGUAGCAGUGAAAUGCGUGGAUAUCAAGAGGAACACUCGUGGCGAAAGCGAGCUACUGGAUAACUCCUGACGCUGAGGCUCGAAGGCCAGGGUAGCGAAAGGGAUUAGAUACCCCUGUAGUCCUGGCAGUAAACGGUGCACGCUUGGUGUGAGGGGAAUCGACCCCCCUCGUGCCGGAGCCAACGCGUUAAGCGUGCCGCCUGGGAAGUACGGUCGCAAGACUAAAACUCAAAGGAAUUGACGG
Molecule: ribosomal RNA, 410 nt
Filed under: uncultured bacterium
Lineage: Bacteria
Description: bacterial SSU rRNA
Rfam family: Bacterial small subunit ribosomal RNA
Source: RNAcentral